AGGGAGGGGAUGUGAGAGGCCCCCUGCCAUUGAGGAUAAGUGGACAUGUCUGAAUUGGCCUGCUACCUAAAAUUAAUAAUCUCAAUCACUUGGAUGGUGGUGUCCAUAAUUUUCUCCACUGUUUGUGUGGCAUAUAAUAAGUAAUGGUUGCACCUAGCAAUUCAUUUACAAAUCUUACUUGAUUUUGAAGCCAUAGAACACCUCAACUGUUAGCUUGAAUGACUGGAGUUUAGUUUUUAUUUCUCAGAACAAAACAGUUUGAAGCCUAAUUAACAUCCUCGGAAGGAACUUAACACUAAAACUCCUAACAGCUUCAGUUUUCUGACCUUGAAGAAAGGGAAAAUGAAGAGACCAUGGUGCCACUUCCGAAGCAAAGGCUGAAGUUCUGUGCUUUAGAGGUGGUGUUGCCAUCCUAUGAUUGCAGGAGUCUGGCCUUGGCUUGGUGGAGGAGCCUGUGGAUAAGGCGAAGGAAGGCUGAAGUGCAAUGUUGUGAUCUCGGCUCACUGCAACCUCUGCCUCCCAGGUUCAAGCGAUUCUCCUGCUUUGGCCUCCUGAGUAGCUGGGAUUGCAGGUCAGUUGCUCUCCCUGGAAGGAAGA
Molecule: long non-coding RNA, 597 nt
Filed under: Homo sapiens (human)
Lineage: Eukaryota; Metazoa; Chordata; Mammalia; Primates; Hominidae
Description: non-protein coding lnc-GNA13-5:1
Source: RNAcentral